Ziziphus jujuba (common jujube) is the source of this 530-nucleotide long non-coding RNA. RefSeq lists it as uncharacterized. Lineage: Eukaryota; Viridiplantae; Streptophyta; Magnoliopsida; Rosales; Rhamnaceae. The transcript has 2 exons. The record is from RefSeq and is a predicted model, not a curated record.
AGUAUGUAUUGGGCUGUAAUGUAUUACACAAUUUAGUGUUUGGUGACAGAUGACAUGCGAAAGUAUUGUAUUAUGUAAUACCUUUCCAUGUUUUUCCUUGUAUAAUCUAAUACAAAGUUUUUUUCUUGUAUUACCUAAUACAAUGCUCGAUCUUGCUGCUUCUCCCUGCUUCUCCUCCCCCAUUAAUCUCUGCCUCUGAAUUUUCAUAAUCUGUCUCACGUCGAUUGCAAGUAAGUCUUCUCAUUUUGUUCCUUUCUUCAUGAGAGCUGCUGAUUUGUGUUUCUUUUCCUUUGGUCGAUGGGGUUGGCUGCAACCACUGUGUUUUUUUUUUUUUUUUUUUUUCCCUUUCAUAACCAUAAACAGAAUUAAAGCAUUGCUUUUAUUAUUGUUGCAGUUAUAUUUUAAUGUUUUUUAUUGUCUUUUGUAUCUAUUGGGAAGAAUAAAACGAUGUAAUAUGAGUGAUAGCAAUUGUUUAAUAUUGCAUGUAAGCUAUUUGAUAAAUUGUCUAUGAGAAUUCAAUGAUUUGCCAA